CACAGCACAACUUCAUAAAUAACACCAAUAAGACCAAAUUCCUAGCAAAUAACUGAGCUAUACUAUUUUUAUAGUAGAACUAAUGCUAAAACUAGUAACAAGAAAACUUCUCUCCGCACCCCUGUGCCCCAGAAAUAGAAGACAUACUGGAUAUUAACAGACCAAAAUAGGAGCAUCACACUGUCAAACCAACCCAGGAGUGCCAAAAAGAGGGUUAAAAGCUAUAUAAGGAACUCAGCAAACCCUGCGUCUCAACUGUUUACCAAAAACACAGCCUUUAGCUGAACAAGUAUUAAAGGUGUUGCCUGCCCAGUGAAACUUUUCAACGGCCGCGGUAUCCUAACCGUGCAAAGGUAGCGUAAUCACU
This 367-nucleotide ribosomal RNA is filed under the name Carlia fusca. RNAcentral's name for it is "partial 16S rRNA". The stretch from base 253 to 367 matches the Rfam family "Bacterial large subunit ribosomal RNA", at positions 1797 to 1969 of the family's 2925-position model. The record is from RNAcentral. Lineage: Eukaryota; Metazoa; Chordata; Lepidosauria; Squamata; Scincidae.